CAAUAGCGUAUAUUUAAGUUGCUGCAGUUAAAAAGCUCGUAGUUGGAUUUCGGGUGGGAAUGGCCGGUCCGCCGUUUCGGUGUGCACUUGCUACGCCCACCUUGCUGCCGGGGACGUGCUCUUGAGUUCACGCUCGGGACACGGAGUCGGCGAGGUUACUUUGAGUAAAUUAGAGUAUUCAAAGCAGGCCUACGCUCUGAAUACAUUAGCAUGGAAUAACACGAUAGGACUCUGGCCUAUCUUGUUGGUCUGUAGGACCGGAGUAAUGAUUAAGAGGGACAGUCGGGGGCAUUCGUAUUUCAUUGUCAGAGGUGAAAUUCUUGGAUUUAUGAAAGACGAACUACUGCGAAAGCAUCUGCCAAGGAUGUUUUCAUUAA
RNAcentral lists this ribosomal RNA (377 nucleotides) under uncultured eukaryote. Its description in RNAcentral is "partial 18S ribosomal RNA". It matches the Rfam family "Eukaryotic small subunit ribosomal RNA", at positions 592 to 976 of the family's 1831-position model. The record is from RNAcentral.